Long non-coding RNA from Papaver somniferum (opium poppy), 617 nucleotides. RefSeq lists it as uncharacterized. Lineage: Eukaryota; Viridiplantae; Streptophyta; Magnoliopsida; Ranunculales; Papaveraceae. The transcript has 2 exons. The record is from RefSeq and is a predicted model, not a curated record.
AUGAACUCCACAAACCAUAACUCCAGUAGCGGCAAUUUUACCUCUGUAAUCAUUCACGGAAGAGGAGAUCAAUCAGAGAUCGAAGAUACCAGUAUUGAUGGUGGUGACAUGAACAUGGUAGAUGUAGAGAAUGGAUCUAGAGAAUAAAACAACCUUCAGUUCCAUCCCUCAGCUACAGAUCAAUCAACUAGUGCGGCAAAUCAGGCUCAUUUAUCGGAUGCAAGCUCAAAGCCGGGAAUGUGAGGAAUGCUGAAGAAGCUGAAAGUCUGGCCUUGUUUGAAGCAGUGAAUUGGGCAAAAGACAAAGGCCUAGAUAAAGUAUGCUUUGUCACUGAUGCUAAAGCAGUUAUAGACUCUUUUAAUUCUAGUAAUAGCCAAUUGCACUGGGAAAAUAAAACAGUCAUAGAUGACCGUAAAUCAAUCAUUUCUUGUUUUAGUCUAGUUAGAUUUGAAUUUCUAAAAAGAAACAAUACUAUGUUGGCAGACAAAGCUGCAAAGUUCUGUAGAAGGUCUAGAACCUCUGGGGAAUGGAUGGGGUACAUCCCUGAAUUCCUAAACUCUACUAUGUAACUUUCUCAGUUAAUAUAAUUCAUUGAUGGGGUACAUCCCUGAAUUCCU